AGUGAACGCUGGCGGUAGGCCUAACACAUGCAGGUCGAACGGCAGCACAGUAAGAGCUUGCUCUUACGGGUGGCGAGUGGCGGACGGGUGAGGAAUACAUCGGAAUCUACUUUUUCGUGGGGGAUAACGUAGGGAAACUUACGCUAAUACCGCAUACGACCUACGGGUGAAAGCAGGGGAUCUUCGGACCUUGCGCGAUUGAAUGAGCCGAUGUCGGAUUAGCUAGUUGGCGGGGUAAAGGCCCACCAAGGCGACGAUCCGUAGCUGGUCUGAGAGGAUGAUCAGCCACACUGGAACUGAGACACGGUCCAGACUCCUACGGGGGGCAGCAGUGGGGAAUAUUGGACAAUGGGCGCAAGCCUGAUCCAGCCAUACCGCGUGGGUGAAGAAGGCCUUCGGGUUGUAAAGCCCUUUUGUUGGGAAAGAAAAGCAGCAGGUUAAUACCCCGCUGUUCUGACGGUACCCAAAGAAUAAGCACCGGCUAACUUCGUGC
This 493-nucleotide ribosomal RNA is filed under the name uncultured bacterium. RNAcentral's name for it is "partial 16S ribosomal RNA". It matches the Rfam family "Bacterial small subunit ribosomal RNA", at positions 29 to 508 of the family's 1533-position model. The record is from RNAcentral.